Molecule: unclassified non-coding RNA, 337 nt
Filed under: uncultured Ascomycota
Lineage: Eukaryota; Fungi; Ascomycota
Description: sequence contains ITS1
Source: RNAcentral
UGGCGGCUCAACGAGCGGCACUACGGCGCGCUGCAGGGCCUCAAUAAAGCCGAGACCGCGGCCAAACACGGCGAGGCGAUGGUGAAAAUCUGGCGGAGGAGCUAUAGCACCCCGCCUCCGCCGCUUCCCGAGAGCGACCCGCGGCGUCCGUCUGCAGACAGGCGCUAUACCGACCUUCCCGCCGAGGCGCUUCCGGCCACUGAAUCGCUCAAGGACACGGUCGCCCGCGUGUUGCCGUACUGGCAGGAAGCAGUCGCUCCGUCGGUCCGCGGAGGAAAGCGCGUCCUCAUCGUGGCACACGGCAACAGCCUUCGUGCGCUCGUCAAACACCUCGACG